AGACCCGAAACCCGGUGAUCUAGCCAUGGGCAGGUUGAAGGUUGGGUAACACUAACUGGAGGACCGAACCGACUAAUGUUGAAAAAUUAGCGGAUGACCUGUGGCUGGGGGUGAAAGGCCAAUCAAACCGGGAGAUAGCUGGUUCUCCCCGAAAGCUAUUUAGGUAGCGCCUCGUGAAUUCAUCUCCGGGGGUAGAGCACUGUUUCGGCUAGGGGGCCAUCCCGGCUUACCAACCCGAUGCAAACUGCGAAUACCGGAGAAUGUUAUCACGGGAGACACACGGCGGGUGCUAACGUCCGUCGUGAAGAGGGAAACAACCCAGACCGCCAGCUAAGGUCCCAAAGUCAUGGUUAAGUGGGAAACGAUGUGGGAAGGCCCAGACAGCCAGGAUGUUGGCUUAGAAGCAGCCAUCAUUUAAAGAAAGCGUAAUAGCUCACUGGUCGAGUCGGCCUGCGCGGAAGAUGUAACGGGGCUAAACCAUGCACCGAAGCUGCGGCAGCGACACUGUGUGUUGUUGGGUAGGGGAGCGUUCUGUAAGCCUGCGAAGGUGGCCUGUGAGGGUUGCUGGAGGUAUCAGAAGUGCGAAUGCUGACAUAAGUAACGAUAAAGCGGGUGAAAAGCCCGCUCGCCGGAAGACCAAGGGUUCCUGUCCAACGUUAAUCGGGGCAGGGUGAGUCGACCCCUAAGGCGAGGCCGAAAGGCGUAGUCGAUGGGAAACGGGUUAAUAUUCCCGUACUUGGUGUUACUGCGAAGGGGGGACGGAGAAGGCUAUGUUGGCCGGGCGACGGUUGUCCCGGUUUAAGCGUGUAGGUGUGUGUUCCAGGUAAAUCCGGUUCACUUUAACACUGAGGCGUGACGACGAGGCACUACGGUGCUGAAGCAACAAAUGCCCUGCUUCCAGGAAAAGCCUCUAAGCAUCAGGUAACAUCAAAUCGUACCCCAAACCGACACAGGUGGUCAGGUAGAGAAUACCAAGGCGCUUGAGAGAACUCGGGUGAAGGAACUAGGCAAAAUGGUGCCGUAACUUCGGGAGAAGGCACGCUGACACGUAGGUGAAGUGAUUUACUCAUGGAGCUGAAGUCAGUCGAAGAUACCAGCUGGCUGCAACUGUUUAUUAAAAACACAGCACUGUGCAAACACGAAAGUGGACGUAUACGGUGUGACGCCUGCCCGGUGCCGGAAGGUUAAUUGAUGGGGUCAGCGCAAGCGAAGCUCCUGAUCGAAGCCCCGGUAAACGGCGGCCGUAACUAUAACGGUCCUAAGGUAGCGAAAUUCCUUGUCGGGUAAGUUCCGACCUGCACGAAUGGCGUAAUGAUGGCCAGGCUGUCUCCACCCGAGACUCAGUGAAAUUGAACUCGCUGUGAAGAUGCAGUGUACCCGCGGCAAGACGGAAAGACCCCGUGAACCUUUACUAUAGCUUGACACUGAACAUUGAGCCUUGAUGUGUAGGAUAGGUGGGAGGCUUUGAAGUGUGGACGCCAGUCUGCAUGGAGCCGACCUUGAAAUACCACCCUUUAAUGUUUGAUGUUCUAACGUGGACCCGUUACCCGGGUUGCGGACAGUGUCUGGUGGGUAGUUUGACUGGGGCGGUCUCCUCCUAAAGAGUAACGGAGGAGCACGAAGGUUGGCUAAUCCUGGUCGGACAUCAGGAGGUUAGUGCAAUGGCAUAAGCCAGCUUGACUGCGAGCGUGACGGCGCGAGCAGGUGCGAAAGCAGGUCAUAGUGAUCCGGUGGUUCUGAAUGGAAGGGCCAUCGCUCAACGGAUAAAAGGUACUCCGGGGAUAACAGGCUGAUACCGCCCAAGAGUUCAUAUCGACGGCGGUGUUUGGCACCUCGAUGUCGGCUCAUCACAUCCUGGGGCUGAAGUAGGUCCCAAGGGUAUGGCUGUUCGCCAUUUAAAGUGGUACGCGAGCUGGGUUUAGAACGUCGUGAGACAGUUCGGUCCCUAUCUGCCGUGGGCGCUGGAGAACUGAGGGGGGCUGCUCCUAGUACGAGAGGACCGGAGUGGACGCAUCACUGGUGUUCGGGUUGUCAUGCCAAUGGCACUGCCCGGUAGCUAAAUGCGGAAGAGAUAAGUGCUGAAAGCAUCUAAGCACGAAACUUGCCCCGAGAUGAGUUCUCCCUGAGACUUAAAGUCUCCUGA
RNAcentral lists this ribosomal RNA (2143 nucleotides) under Salmonella enterica subsp. enterica serovar Enteritidis. RNAcentral's name for it is "partial 23S ribosomal RNA". It matches the Rfam family "Bacterial large subunit ribosomal RNA", at positions 711 to 2831 of the family's 2925-position model. The record is from RNAcentral. Lineage: Bacteria; Pseudomonadati; Pseudomonadota; Gammaproteobacteria; Enterobacterales; Enterobacteriaceae.